ACGCACGCUGGCGGCGUGCUUAACACCUGCAAGUCGAACGGAAAGGCCCUGCUUUUGUGGGGUGCUCGAGUGGCGAACGGGUGAGUAACACGUGAGUAACCUGCCCUUGACUUUGGGAUAACUUCAGGAAACUGGGGCUAAUACCGGAUAGGAGCUCCUGCUGCAUGGUGGGGGUUGGAAGGUUUCGGCGGUUGGGGAUGGACUCGCGGCUUAUCAGCUUGUUGGUGGGGUAGUGGCUUACCAAGGCUUUGACGGGUAGCCGGCCUGAGAGGGUGACCGGCCACAUUGGGACUGAGAUACGGCCCAGACUCCUACGGGAGGCAGCAGUGGGGAAUAUUGCACAAUGGGCGGAAGCCUGAUGCAGCAACGCCGCGUGCGGGAUGACGGCCUUCGGGUUGUAAACCGCUUUCGCCUGUGACGAAGCGUGAGUGACGGUAAUGGGUAAAGAAGCACCGGCUAACUACGUG
Molecule: ribosomal RNA, 467 nt
Filed under: uncultured bacterium
Lineage: Bacteria
Description: partial 16S ribosomal RNA
Rfam family: Bacterial small subunit ribosomal RNA
Source: RNAcentral